GGAAAAGGUGUUCCGACCGGGCGUGGAAGGACGUCACAGCACCUUCCCCUCCGGGCACUGGAGGGGUUUCUGUGAAAUGUAGUCCCCCUGCAGGGGCCUAGAAAAGACUGGAGCGCGGAAAGGGGAUAGACCAGGAUGCAUGUGACAUCUGAACUGAGUGUAAGCCCAACAGGUAUUCAGAGCUACAGUAUGGCUUGAACAUGGUAGGAGAGUGGAAGAAGAUAAAACCAGAGAGCUCCAAAUGGAAUUGAUCUGGAAGAAGAUGAGACAAGCAGAGAAGGAGGAAGUAUGCCAAAAUUUAAG
Molecule: long non-coding RNA, 303 nt
Organism: Zalophus californianus (California sea lion)
Lineage: Eukaryota; Metazoa; Chordata; Mammalia; Carnivora; Otariidae
Exons: 3
Source: RefSeq, a predicted model, not a curated record